UCUCGAUCAACUUGAAUUUCAAAUGUUAUUUGCCCUUACAAAAGAAAGAAGAUAGAAUCAUACGUAAAAUUGAGUUGCUUCUCCUUGGACAGACCUGGUCUCGAUCAACUUGAAUUUCAAAUGUUAUUUGCCCCCACAAAAGAAAGAAGAUAGAAUCAUACGUAAAAUGCAUAUCAAUCGACGCGUAAAUAUGUACUAUAUGAUUCAUAAAUAUUAGUUCAUAAUUCGGCGUAUCUUAUAUGGAAACUCAAUUCACACGCCAAAAGAAGAGAAAAAUG
RNAcentral lists this long non-coding RNA (278 nucleotides) under Brassica rapa (field mustard). RNAcentral's name for it is "long non-coding RNA (BRAP_LNC001601)". The record is from RNAcentral. Lineage: Eukaryota; Viridiplantae; Streptophyta; Magnoliopsida; Brassicales; Brassicaceae.